AAAAGAUCAGAGUGGACAGUGAACAUACACACACUGAUAUCACACACCUGAAUAGUAAGUAUUGAAGAUAUUGAAAAAUCCAGUGUAGGGAUUCAUUUGAUU
This is a long non-coding RNA of Salarias fasciatus (jewelled blenny), 102 nucleotides long. RefSeq lists it as uncharacterized. NCBI's taxonomy places the organism in Eukaryota, Metazoa, Chordata, Actinopteri, Blenniiformes, Blenniidae. The transcript is spliced from 3 exons. The record is from RefSeq and is a predicted model, not a curated record.